GACUCAGUGCUUGCCUCAGGUGGUCAAUCAGAGGUUCAGGCCAGGAUUCAACGGUUCCCAUACACUCUCCAAAUGAAGGAGCAAGCAAACAAUUGUGUGGUGCUGAGCCAUCUUCCGGGAUAAACUCCAACAUCCAUACAUGACAGUGAGUCUGAAUCAUUUACUGAUCUAAUGAAAAAUGUCGACAGGGUUCUGCAAGCUUGGGUUUUGUUUGGUUUACUACUGCAUUUUUGCUACGAGGAUUUCUGCUGCACUCUUUCAAGAAACCAUGUAGGUGUUGUAAAAUUCAACUUUCCCUCAUGAUCAAACAAGCAUGUUAAGACUCAUUAUGAAGCCUGUGUGAGAGUAAUGUCUCCUGUAUUUAUUACAUGGGCCGACAAUGUCAGAAGCAGACAGUGGUGGUGUGGCAGUGGCUGUGUGACAGGAGGCAUCAGAGGGGCAGCCUGCCCAAAUGGUGUUUGACAUGAAGGUACAUAUGAAGCAAAACUGUGUCACUGAAUUAACCCAUGCAGAAAAAUGACACACAUUGACAAUCACUGACACUUGCUGCAAGUGUAUGGAGACCAAACAGUGGAUGUGAGCACAGUGAGGCGGUGAGUGCUGCAUUUCAGUAGUGGUGACAGCAACAUGAAAGACAAACCACAUUCUGGACAGGCAUGCACAGCUGUCACAAAACAAAAUGAAGAGUGUCUCAAACAUAUCAUCUUUGCAAAUUGGCAGAUUAUGACCAAAUUAUGAGGGAGUUGUGUAUGGAGCUGGAUACUGGCUUUAAUACAUUAGAAUUGGUAAUGACAAUGUUGAAAUAACACAAAGUUUGUGUCAGGUGAGUCCCACAGAUGUUCACACAGGAACAAAUAAGAGCCUGAAGGUGGUGGCGUCCUGGAUCACUUCAUUACCAAUGAUGAGACAUGGUGUCACCCCUAUGAUUUGUAGUCAAAAUGUCAGUUCAUAGGGUGGCAACAAGGGAUUUGCCCAUUGAAGAAAAAGUGUGUGAUGCAAGUUGAAGCAGUUGAAGGAUAUGAACUGGAUAGGAAAGGGUUGCUCCUUCUGGAUUUCCGGGAACCCAGACAAACCAUCAGCUCUAGCUGCUACAUCAUGAUGCUGACUAACAAGAAGGCUCAAACUUCCAUAGUCGGGUCAGAGAAGACAACCAUUCUCUUGCAUUGUGAUUACACCAAGUCCCAUCCCAGUUUGAAGACCAUGGAACACAUUGACAAUCUUGGUUGGAUUGUUCUACUACAUCCAACAUAUAUUCCGAAUUUCAUCAUCACAGAAUCAUGAUAGACUCAUUUGAGUAGCAAGGUACUCUUAAAGGUCAUCUAAUCCAAGUCCUUUGCAAUGAACAGGGACAUCUACAAUCAGUCACCUUCUGACUUCCAUCUGUUCAAGAUCCUGAAAGACUGACUGCGUGGACAACAUUUUUCUAGCACAAUGCCAUCAUAGAGCUAUAAAAUAGUGGGUCACUUCUAUUGGUGCAGAUUAUAUGACCGCAGUAUCCAGGAUCUUGUUCAUCGCUGGUCAAAGUGCAUAGAUAAUGGUAGUGGCUAUAUUGAAAAACAGUGUUUUGUAGCUGUUUUUGUUCUAUCAAAUAGUGCUAUUGUUCUCUUUGUAUCUGUUGUAGCUUCCAUGGAAAUAAAUAGGAAGCAUUACUUUUGAAGUGACCUAUGUAUAUUAUUUAUUUAUUAAAAUAUUCCUCUAAG
Molecule: long non-coding RNA, 1700 nt
Organism: Gallus gallus (chicken)
Lineage: Eukaryota; Metazoa; Chordata; Aves; Galliformes; Phasianidae
Source: Ensembl